UCUUGUGUGAGGAGUAAGUUGAAACAAAAAAUGCUUGGGGUGGAAACACGGCAACACUCCCAGGCGUUUUUUAUU
Molecule: small RNA, 75 nt
Filed under: Anabaena cylindrica PCC 7122
Lineage: Bacteria; Bacillati; Cyanobacteriota; Cyanophyceae; Nostocales; Nostocaceae
Description: Cyano-1 RNA
Rfam family: Cyano-1 RNA
Source: Rfam by way of RNAcentral